GUAUUUUUAAACUUUUAUUAA
RNAcentral lists this transfer RNA (21 nucleotides) under Apis mellifera (honey bee). RNAcentral describes it as "partial tRNA-Leu". RNAcentral also lists the same sequence under 2 other names. Lineage: Eukaryota; Metazoa; Arthropoda; Insecta; Hymenoptera; Apidae. The record is from RNAcentral.